CGGGGGCAGAUGGCGUAACUGCCGACUCACUGCCUGUGGGUCGGACAGCCGCUGGAGGCCGUUGUGACGCUGCCCCCUUACGCGCCACAUCGGCAAAGCUACUCUUAGACAGGACGGGCAGGCGCGCGAGUAUGCGGCGUGCUCGCCAUCACAGUUGACACAGUGUGGAGUCUUCUGGCAUGUUUCGGAGGAAUGUUCGGUGUCACUACACUUGGCACAUGUCAGCCGGCCUCGACAGUUCUGUGAACUGUGGCCGAACCUUUGGCACUUGAAGCAUCUGAGAGGAUUGGGCACGUAUGGCCUAACACGAAGUUUGAUGUAACCGGCCUCGAUGGACUCGGGGAGGACACUUGAGCUGAAA
This is a non-coding RNA of Dermacentor andersoni, 361 nucleotides long. NCBI's taxonomy places the organism in Eukaryota, Metazoa, Arthropoda, Arachnida, Ixodida, Ixodidae. The record is from RefSeq and is a predicted model, not a curated record.